UACGAAUGGAGCGAGCGUUGUUCGGAAUCACUGGGCGUAAAGCGUGCGCAGGCGGUUUUGAAAGUUAGAAGUGAAAGCCCAGGGCUUAACCUUGGAAUUGCUUUUAAAACUUCAAGACUAGAGUACUGGAGGGGUUGGCGGAAUUUCGAGUGUAGCAGUGAAAUGCGUAGAUAUUCGAAGGAACACCGAUGGCGUAGGCAGCCAACUGGACAGUUACUGACGCUCAUGCACGAAAGCGUGGGGAUCAAACAGG
This 253-nucleotide ribosomal RNA is filed under the name uncultured bacterium. RNAcentral's name for it is "partial 16S ribosomal RNA". It matches the Rfam family "Bacterial small subunit ribosomal RNA", at positions 524 to 776 of the family's 1533-position model. The record is from RNAcentral.